RNAcentral lists this microRNA precursor (78 nucleotides) under Schistosoma margrebowiei. Its description in RNAcentral is "mir-3492 microRNA precursor family". It matches the Rfam family "mir-3492 microRNA precursor family". The record is from Rfam by way of RNAcentral. Lineage: Eukaryota; Metazoa; Platyhelminthes; Trematoda; Strigeidida; Schistosomatidae.
AGCUUUCUGUGUCGGUGCUGAGAUUUCGUCACAUACCAGACCACAAGGGCUGAUGAAACUUCCCAGAUAAGUGAAUCG